GACGAACGCUGGCGGCGUGCUUAACACAUGCAAGUCGAACGGAAAGGCCCUGCUUUUGUGGGGUGCUCGAGUGGCGAACGGGUGAGUAACACGUGAGUAACCUGCCCUUGACUUUGGGAUAACUUCAGGAAACUGGGGCUAAUACCGGAUAGGAGCUCCUGCUGCAUGGUGGGGGUUGGAAAGUUUCGGCGGUUGGGGAUGGACUCGCGGCUUAUCAGCUUGUUGGUGGGGUAGUGGCUUACCAAGGCUUUGACGGGUAGCCGGCCUGAGAGGGUGACCGGACACAGUGGGACUGAGAUACGGCCCAGACUCCGACGGGAGGCAGCAGUGGGGAAUAUGGCAAAAUGGGCGGAAGCCUGAUGCAGCAACGCCGCGUGCGGGAUGACGGCCUUCGGGUUGUAAACCGCUUUCGCCUGUGACGAAGCGUGAGGGACGGUAAUGGGUAAAGAAGCACCGGCUAACUACGUG
RNAcentral lists this ribosomal RNA (468 nucleotides) under uncultured bacterium. Its description in RNAcentral is "partial 16S ribosomal RNA". It matches the Rfam family "Bacterial small subunit ribosomal RNA", at positions 28 to 507 of the family's 1533-position model. The record is from RNAcentral.